GACGAACGCUGGCGGCGCGCUUAACACAUGCAAGUCGAACGGAAAGGCCUGCUUUCCCUUGUGGAUUGCGGGUACUCGCGUGGCGAACGGGUGAGUAACACGUGAGUGAUCUGCCCCCAACUUGGGUAUAAGCCUGGGAAACUGGGUCUAAUUCCCGAUAGGACUGCAGGGUGGUGCCUGUGGUGGAAAACGAUUUUCUAGUGGUUGGGGAUGAGCUCGCGGCGUAUCAGCUUGUUGGUGGGGUAAUGGCCUACCAAGGCGGCGACGGGUAGCCGGCCUGGGAGGGUAGACGGCCCGAGUGGGACUGAGAUACGGCCCGGACUCCGACGGGAGGCAGCAGUGGGGAAUAGUGCACAAUGGGGGGAAGCCUGAAGUAGGGGCGCGGCGUGGGGAAUGACGGCCUUCGGGUUGUGAACUCCUUUCGGCCGCGAAGAAGCCACCUGGUUGGAAGGAUAGUGACGGUAGUGGAAGAAGAAGCACCGGCUAACUACGUG
Molecule: ribosomal RNA, 494 nt
Filed under: uncultured bacterium
Lineage: Bacteria
Description: partial 16S ribosomal RNA
Rfam family: Bacterial small subunit ribosomal RNA
Source: RNAcentral